AAUAGGAGAAUGACAACUCAUAUUUUUCAUCCUAAUUUUUAGCUUUUUCCUCCUGAAAAAAAUUCAAAUCCAACUAAAAGUGCUAAAAAUUAGGAAGAAAAAUCUAAUUUGUCAUUUUCUUAUU
This is a microRNA precursor of Gossypium arboreum, 124 nucleotides long. It matches the Rfam family "MIR7504 microRNA precursor family". The record is from Rfam. NCBI's taxonomy places the organism in Eukaryota, Viridiplantae, Streptophyta, Magnoliopsida, Malvales, Malvaceae.